GACGAACGCUGGCGGCGUGCUUAACACAUGCAAGUCGAACGGAAAGGCCCUGCUUUUGUGGGGUGCUCGAGUGGCGAACGGGUGAGUAACACGUGAGUAACCUGCCCUUGACUUUGGGAUAACUUCAGGAAACUGGGGCUAAUACCGGAUAGGAGCUCCUGCUGCAUGGUGGGGGUUGGAAAGUUUCGGCGGUUGGGGAUGGACUCGCGGCUUAUCAGCUUGUUGGUGGGGUAGUGGCUUACCAAGGCUUUGACGGGUAGCCGGCCUGAGAGGGUGACCGGCCACAUUGGGACUGGGGAUCAGCCCAGACACCUACAGGAGGCAGCAGUGGGGAAUAUUGCACAAUAGGCGUGAGCCUAAUGCAGCAACGCCGCGUGCGGGAAGACGGCCUUCGGGUUGUAAACCGCUUUCGCCUGUGACGAAGCGUGAGUGACGGUAAUGGGUAAAGAAGCACCGGCUAACUACGUG
This 468-nucleotide ribosomal RNA is filed under the name uncultured bacterium. Its description in RNAcentral is "partial 16S ribosomal RNA". It matches the Rfam family "Bacterial small subunit ribosomal RNA", at positions 28 to 507 of the family's 1533-position model. The record is from RNAcentral.